This 328-nucleotide unclassified non-coding RNA is filed under the name soil metagenome. RNAcentral describes it as "partial contains 5.8S ribosomal RNA, internal transcribed spacer 2, and large subunit ribosomal RNA". The stretch from base 1 to 120 matches the Rfam family "5.8S ribosomal RNA", at positions 35 to 154 of the family's 154-position model. The record is from RNAcentral.
GAUGAAGAACGUAGCGAAAUGCGAUAAGUAAUGUGAAUUGCAGAAUUCAGUGAAUCAUCGAAUCUUUGAACGCACAUUGCGCCCCUUGGUAUUCCGAGGGGCAUGCCUGUUCGAGCGUCAUUAUAACCCUCAAGCUCAGCUUGGUGUUGGGGCCUGCUGCACUGGCAGCCCUUAAAAUCAGUGGCGGCACCAUCUGGCUCUAAGCGUAGUAAUUCUUCUCGCUAUGGAGUCCUGGUGGAUGCUUGCCAUCAACCCCCAAUUUUUCUAUGGUUGACCUCGGAUCAGGUAGGGAUACCCGCUGAACUUAAGCAUAUCAAUAAGCGGAGGA